CCUGCAAUCCAUGAUUGCGGAAUUCUGUGUCGUGACCGUGGAUUCCGGGGUGGUGCGAAAGGGGGACCCAUAACCACCGCACGCCGUGGCAAUGCAGGGACACGAUCAAGCAGAGCGAUACAGCUGUUGUUUCUGUCAUUCCGGGGCGCGCCUCUUCGCGCGAACCCGGAAUCCAUUUCUCCAACACCGCGAUGGAUUCCGGGCUCGCGCAACGCGCGCCCCGGAAUGACGGCGGAUAGUAUCGCGCAGAUGGCUGCAACAUUUCGUGNCCCUGUUCUGCAGCACGCUUAUGUUCGGCACGUCCUGGUCGUGAGGGGCGCUUCUCGAGG
RNAcentral lists this unclassified non-coding RNA (329 nucleotides) under Hevea brasiliensis (rubber tree). The record is from RNAcentral. Lineage: Eukaryota; Viridiplantae; Streptophyta; Magnoliopsida; Malpighiales; Euphorbiaceae.